UAAGUUUGACAAUAAGAGGAACCACUUAAAAAUAUUUAUGGUGGUGUCACAAAAUCGGAGGCCACGACUGUUUACUAAAAACACAAUUCAGAGCAAUGAUGAAAAUCAUAGUAUUCUGGAUGAAAUUUGCCCGAUGCCAUUAACAUAAAAGAGGUAAUGGGAAACUGUUACUAAUUGAAAGUCUGGUUAAUAGCGGUCUUAACUAUGAGGAUCCUAAGGUAGCAAAAUCAGUUGGCCAUUAAAUGUGGUCUGGUAUCAAUAGUGUAACGAUGGUCUCACUGUCUCUACAACUUGCUCAGUGAAAUUGAAUUAUCCGUGCAGAUGCGGAUUGCCUCCAGGUGGACGGG
This 347-nucleotide ribosomal RNA is filed under the name Tomentella sp. 'LT56'. RNAcentral describes it as "LSU rRNA". It matches the Rfam family "Bacterial large subunit ribosomal RNA", at positions 1731 to 2084 of the family's 2925-position model. Lineage: Eukaryota; Fungi; Basidiomycota; Agaricomycetes; Thelephorales; Thelephoraceae. The record is from RNAcentral.